GUUUUGACAUCCUCUAUAUGUUACAAAUUUUUUUUCCUUUGUUUUCUUGAGAGAAUAAUUACUUGCUACAUCUCUUGAAUUUAAUAUCACUGGCAUGUUUGAGUCAUGGAGCAUUAUGUUGUAGUGGGCAUUUGGGCUGAAUAUGUUCCAAAACUCUUAUGAAGUUAUAAUGCAUAGAACCUGAGAGAAAAUCAUUUGAAGUAUAUUUUCUAGGUAAAUACACCAAAUUAAAAACUUGAUGGUUGUUUUGCACAUUGUGAAAAGCUGAAUGCAAGUUCUCUAAGUUAAUAUAUUGCUGGGCUCCUGGGGAUAUCUUCUGCUGUAGCUUUGUUUCCUAUCCUUUAUUCGUUUUCCUCUGAACCACAUUAGUUGAGUAAUAUUUUCUAGUGUUUUGUGAUGGUAUAGAAAUAUUUGUAGUCUAGACUGCAUUUUUUAUUUUUACUGCAUCAAUGUCUAAGCAACAUCAAUUAAUAUACAUUUUCUCCAUUUCAGGGAGUAUCUAAUUGACUUGGUGGGGAAGUCAGGUUGUUUAUGUGAGCCUGAUUCAUUGCUU
RNAcentral lists this unclassified non-coding RNA (553 nucleotides) under Hevea brasiliensis (rubber tree). Lineage: Eukaryota; Viridiplantae; Streptophyta; Magnoliopsida; Malpighiales; Euphorbiaceae. The record is from RNAcentral.